UUCGCCUGCAAAAAAAGUUACCAUCUUUGCCCAUAUAAGGAGAUCACCUGUUAAAUUCUCGCGCAGGGAGACGACGAAAUCGAAGAGGCAGAUGUUUUCCUGAACGCACUUUUGUCUUCAACCUUCGAGUAGAUAUUGUAAUCAAUGGUACGUGAAGACGGCACAAUUUGAUUUUUGUGACUUGUUAGCAAGUUAAAGAAAGCAAGUUAGACUCCAUGACGGUCGGACGUGGCAAACUCGCGCGCAGAAGACUCCUACCAGAAAAUGAAUCCAGUCUAGAUUUGGCGCCCGGUGAAACCAAGUGAAACGGUGUGUGGGUAUGAAGGACUGUGCAGAACUUGCCACCACGAAAACUCAGAGAAGCUCAAUGCCACUGAAAAGAGGCCAGCAGCUUCAUAAAAAAAUGAAAGACUACGCUAGACCAUCAGAUCAAAUUGCUGAACAAACAGCGGACCAAAAUGCCUAAGUUAUGCACUGUGGAACGUUUUGUGGAUAGACAGCUGUGGAAUCCGUAAAGGUCAAGAAGACUUUUGUUACGAGGGCUGGAGG
Long non-coding RNA from Alosa alosa (allis shad), 549 nucleotides. RefSeq lists it as uncharacterized. The transcript is spliced from 3 exons. The record is from RefSeq and is a predicted model, not a curated record. NCBI's taxonomy places the organism in Eukaryota, Metazoa, Chordata, Actinopteri, Clupeiformes, Clupeidae.